Zonotrichia albicollis (white-throated sparrow) is the source of this 6892-nucleotide non-coding RNA. Lineage: Eukaryota; Metazoa; Chordata; Aves; Passeriformes; Passerellidae. The record is from RefSeq and is a predicted model, not a curated record.
GCCUUGCCCAGCCCAGAGGAGUCAGUGAUGCUCUAAGCGUGCCCCUCGGGGGUGGGUGAUGGCUGGCAGCCCUCGGCUCCCCGCCCGACACACAGACAGCAGGAGGGAGCAGGGAGCGGGCUUUGCAUCCGCACGCAAAACAGCUGGGUGUUGGGAGUUUGGCCCCCCGGAGAGGACCAAAACAGCGGCUCGGCUGUUUCUAAUUCAGCGUCUGGGCUGGUCGGGUUAUGGAGUUCACUUAUGGAGGUAGAUGCUCUGGAGCAGUGACUGCUUUGGCAAGUCAAGGAUCGUGCAUGGUGUGAGACAUAAAGCAAACAUGAGUUAUCUCUUCCCGUGGCCGUGACUGCUCCGCUUGCAGCGCUUCACUGCCAGCUGUGCGGGUGGUGUACAGAUUCCUGCUGCUGCAAAAACUUCUCUUUCUUUUUAAGAUGCACGUUAAAUGCAGCUGGAGAGCCUUAGCAGAGGCAGGCAGGGCAGAGGCAGACAUCGAUGUCAUCACCUUUUCCACCACUUGCUAAUGCCUUUACACAUUGCACUGGCACAUCCCAUGUGCCUCUGCCAAAACUGAUUCCCAGAUGAGAGGUCUUGUGCUGAAACGCUGCCUACACACCCCAACAACACCAAGGCACUUAAAAUGGUUUGUCUUCUUAUUACUUUUUAUAGCUGUCUCCCAAGAAAAAUUACUUUGUACAGAAAAUCAUGUAGCAAUUGUUAAAAGCUGGUUUUAGAAGUUUUGUUCCUAAAACAUUUGUGCUUUUACAUGUGCAGCAGCCCAGAUGCUUUCAUGCCUGAAGUUUCUAGGUUGUUCCCAAAAUCAUGGGCUGUAGCCUGCAGACAGGAGUCGGACCCAUAAGAGUUGAGCAAUGUUCUCAGCAGUGUAACAAGAGGUGGUGAGAAAGGGCACAGGUGAGUGGGGCUCCAGAAAGCACAGACAGCAUUAUUUAAGGUUUUUAGUGCAAAACUCAUUGAAUCACUCUGCAGAUUGCUUGCAGAUUUAGAAGAUGCCACAGGUGGCAGCAAAAGAGAAUUAUUCCAGAUUAAAUUUACAUGAUGAAUGUUUUAUUGUAUUUUACAUCAAAUAAUAUUCUGCAAAACAUAGCAGAGGUUUCUUUUCUGAAGGAUUUAAUCCUGCUUGGAAUUAUGUCUUUAUAAGAAUAUAGUUUCUAGGAUUUGGUUAAGGUUGAUUAAGGCAGCCAGACAGAGAGCGGGUUUUUGAGGAAAUGUGUUUUUUCACACACACACGUGUUUUUCUUGCAGCAGCAGCCCAGGCUUAAGGAGCUGCUGGCACCACAGGCCCCCCACUGUUCACCCCUGUGCUGCUGCCUUCCCUUUAGCUGAGCAUGUGUCAAUCCACACAGUGUGCUCAGGGAAUUUACCCAAGUUAAAUUAACUGUACAGCAACAACAGCUGGGCUUGGUUGGUUGGGUUUUUUCAAUCCAGAUCUGGCAUUCCUACCUUUGAGUUAUCAAUGCCCCCAGGAUGGCUGUACAAGUGAGAGAACACUGCCAGAUGGAGCAGGAGGGAAAUGAGGGGAUCCCAUCUGGGGUGCUUCUACCUGGAUCUGAUUCUGAGCUAGCAGAGAACAAAACUGAGACAGACUGCCCAGGAGCGUGGUGGUUUUCAGUGUCAGACUUCCCAUUGAGACAGCUGCCAAUGUAUAUUGAACAGAUACUCAGGAAAGAGUGAGUACUGGGAGCUAAUAGACCUGUUCCCAACUCAUAACCUGGAAAUGGGCUGACUCUUUGAUCUCUGGCUACUGUGACAUCCUUCAGACCAAAAGCCUCCUCUGUUCCCUUGCCCUUUAUGGUUCCAGAGGUGUUCCAACAGCUGUCUUGUGACAGCAGCUGACACACUUCCCUUGGUGAGGAAAACAACAGUGAGGCUUCCCAGGCCUGAAAACUUUCUUUGGGAGACACAGAGGUAACAAUUAUAGCCUUUUAAAAACUCUACAUUGUUACAAUGAAAGUAAAAUAACUUCCACACCCUACAUUUUGUGGCAUUCCGCGUUGUCCGUGGAUGCAGUGUGACCUGUGGCUCUGCCCUGUGGAAUGGGAAACUGUGUGUGAGUGAAUUGUGGGCAGAACCCCUGGUGCAGCCCAGGAUUGCACACACAGGCCCUGGCUGUGGGGUUCCCACUCAGACUCCUCAUUACCUGGCUACAGACAGUUGUAUUUUCUAGCAGAUGUGCCUGUGAGUGGAUGAGAGUGCUCUGAGCAGGUCAGGCUCUGCUGCCUGUCUGCAGGUGCUGACUUCUGUUUAUUCUAGUCUGCCUCAGUUUCCCUGUCUGGGCUGGCUGGCUAUUACCAGCAUGUUCCCAUAUCUUGGUGAUGAGUUCCUUUCUGCUUUCCAGUGCUAUGUGCUUUUGCAAAAGCAGAGCAAUUCUGGAGCAAGACCAGAGCACAGGAAUUAUAUUUUCCUUUUCUUUUUGCUCACAGCAUCACACAUUAAUUUUUGCCAGUGGGAUCCUUGUGGCCACCCUUCUAUAUUGGCAUGGUCUGAAACAGGUCUAAGAUUGAAUAAAAGCAAGGGGGACAGUACUGAUUGUAAAGGAGCACAAUCAGUACUCAGUACAGUACACUUGUAAAGGAGUGUGCUUUAGGUGGACAGAAGAAUAGGAGGCUUCUGCCUCCUCCCAGGCAAGCAGGAUGACAUGAAAGACAGCUCCUUGCUUCCUUCUGGCAGUUCUGUCCCCUCCCAAUGCUGGCACACUUCUCCACAGCUCCCACAGAGAAUCAUCCCAUGAUGUCCCAAAAGCUGUGCCUGUGGGGUAGUGCAGUGUGCCUCCUGCAGCAAGGAAAAUGUGCUGUGUCUGGAUUCAGUGGAGUUUCCCUCACAAGUAGUUUUCCAUCCUGCUGUGCCCCUUGUAGGCUGACAAAGAAGUUUUUGAUGCCUUGUAGGUGCCAACAUCUGCAUGGACUCAUACCCAGGUAAGGGCUGGAAGCAUUUAGAAGACAUUCAGUUUUGUCCUUUCCUGUUUUCAGGCUUGCUUUUAUUUGUGUCCCACCAAGGUAAAAAGAAGGAUUUUAUGUCUUCCCUCAAGAAGCAGAAGAUGUGACAGAAGUCCAGAAGUGGCUUGCUUUUUGAAAUUAACAUGGCAAAAACUAAGAGAGCUAUCUCUAAAGGAAAAGCAGACUGCCUUGUGCUGAUAUGAAAAAUUACAGGCUACUUCAGAAGCUGUUUACACUGAUCUUCACUCUGUUUGUCAGGAGAGAAACUUCUGGUGCUUUUGUCUGUGCUGGGAGUGCCUCAGCAGUGAGGCAUCUGUGCCAAGAGGACUCACAACACAAAAUGUGCCUGUAGCUGCAAUGAAACAGCUCUGAGCUUCAGCUGGAGGACACACUCUCACAUCACUGCUGCCAGCUCUGAGCAUCCAGCAAGGGCAAGACAGCCUGUGAAACACCAAGGCUGUGGAGCAGCAGGGGGAGAUGGGCCCUGUGCUUGUGUCUCAUGGUUAUUGAGAAAAGGAUCCAAAUGUGAAGCAAGUUUUGCUCCAAUGGUUCAAAACCAGAAGAAAAUGCACAGAACCAGAACUGGUAUGGUUGGAUGCCUGUUACAAUAUGAACACAAACCCAUGAUCUUUCUCUGCCCUUGGCUGCCCUGGUGCUAUUAAAACCCACCAAGUUUUCCCUCCCUGAGUAGGACUGCCUGGAGAACCCUUCAUCUGGCUUCCCUGUGCUUCCCUGCUGCUUCUCAGGUAUGUGCCAAGCUUUUCUUCCCUGCCCCUGGAAGGCUCUCUGUGCUGCUGGACAUGUGGCAAAGAGCAAAUGCAUUUAUUGCUGCAGAUGGGACAGCUGCAAUCCGAGGUGGAUGGAGAGUGACUCCAGGCUGGGGUGAUCUCAGCAGAUCUCUACUGCCAUCUUAGCCACCCCCCACAUAUUUACAAGACCACGUUUUUCCUCUUUUGCAGUCACAUCUUUGCAGCUGGGAUGCCUCUUACCUAAGGUAUUUGAGCAAGAGUCCUGGCAUGUACGAAGCAGUUCAGGAUAAACAGGGAACCUGCUGCCACUAAAAAUCCUGACAGACCAAGGACUGAUCCUACCUGCUCACAGAGCUUGAUUUUGCAUCUCUUCAGCCAAAUGGUGAUCUUCCCUCUGGCUGCAUGGAGCAGACUCCUGCUUUAGGGACCAGGGUAAUUCCUAAGAGCCACACAGGUGUCCAGCCAAGCAAACCCUCCCUGAAUGUUGCACUAUUUCCCCAUCUACUCAGCCUGACCUCCUUUACUCCAAACAAGUUUUUGCAUUUCAGAUUUCCACAGCAGCAAGCUGUCAUUGACAGUGUGUGACCAAGUCUGGGCUGUUCAAACACACCCACACCCAUCAAUGCCACUGUCACUGCCUGUGACCCCAUUGCUGAAGAGCAGGUGCAUGGCACCCUGGCCAAGACACACAGGGCUGUUCCUAGAAGAUGCCUGUUCCAGAGCUGGAUUGCUGCCUGCUUCCUGCUCUCCAGGCCUUUAUGUAAUCUUGAAGCAGUGCAGCUUCACCAGGUUCCUUUGUCUUUGUCUAACCAAAGUGCAAAAGCUGUUUUCAGGUGGGAAUUUUACUUAGGACUAUGUAAAAUGUGUAGGCAGAAAGUGCUGCAAAAGACCAGGUCAUUCAUUCCAGGCCUGAGUGAAUUCUUUCCCUGUCCACACUUCUCAAACUCUGGCCCAUGUUUUCAGCAGCUGGAGAAAUUAUCAACCACAUCACACAAAAGGAAAGACUUAUUCACUUUUUUUUUUUCCCCACAACAUAAGGAGAGCCACUCCUGUGAAAUCCUCUCCAGAUCUGUGGGUCCAGGUUGCUGGUUUUCUCCAUGUAGGCAUGUAAAAAUCAUGAAUUGUGAAAAAAGGAGUGAUGAAGUGCUCUUUGGAGCACUUGCAGAAUAGCCAUAGUUUGGAUAAUGACAAUUUUUCUUUCUCUGGGUGGAGUUUAAGCCAUUUGGGAGUUGUUAAUUGUACAUUGAUAUGAACAGGAAGGGGAGCAUAACAUAAAGAGGACAGCAACCACCCUGAGGCUGGCUGGGAGAUUUGUGUGGCUGCUGGUGUCAAAUGCUGAAGCAGAAAUUGGUUUGACAUUUUGGAGGGGAAGGCAGUGCUGGUCAGUCCUGGCUGCUGCCCUGGGUACCUGCUGAUUCAAUGGCUCUGAGGAUAAUGCAUUUUGCAGCAGAGAGGAGAUUGUGUCUGAGCAGUUCUCAGGAGGAAUUGUGCCAUCACACUCCACAAACAGCAAGCAGUGCCAAGUUGUGAAAGGGCUUGUGUCAGUAAAUCACCUGUGAUGUUUUUGGCAGGCAUCUAACCAACACCCAGGGAAGGCUCACAGACUGGUGAUGCACCAUCUCCUCACAUUUUGCACUCUCUGCUGGUGAAGGUAGGCUGGAUAUCCCUGCCUUGGCCCCCUAGAGGGAUUUCUGGCCAGGACAGUGGUCCAUGAAAGAUGAAACAGAAGUCAGGCAAAGAGUAAGAUAUUGUCAUUUGCCCCUGAGGUCAUGUAGGGUCCCAGAAAAAACCAUUGCUGAAAACCAAGGAGUCCUCAGUCCCAGACUCAGAGAGGAGGUGCAGUGUGUGUAAAGCUGUGAAAGUACCCCAGGAAACCCAGGCCAUUCACAUGGAGUAUGUCCAGCUAUAGACUAGCAGAGAUACCCACACACAAGGACAGUGGGGAUUUAGACAUUUUGGGGGCUAGACUCGAGUCCUGGAUAAGCUUCAGCUUUGCUCCAACUAACUCAGCUUUAUUAUUUUCUUGAGAGUGAGUACAGUGCAGAGCUCUCUCCCAAAAGCUCUGGAAGCUGCUGGUCCAGUUCAGAAAGGUGGCUGGGUGUGUGAUGCUCCUCUCCAGUGAUUUUUACUGCACAGUAGCUUUUAGCCAGGUUCCAGCAGCAUCCUGGUGGCACCAGUGUAAAAGCAUUUGGCCUCUUUUGGUUUGGACACUCAUCCAUGAGGCACUGAGAGAGAGUUACCCACAGUGAGCAUUACAGCUGUUGGUCACUGCUGACCUGGGCCAGCUUUGAUUGCUGAUCCUGAGAGGUUUCACUCUGUCAUUCUUCUCCAGAGGUUUCUGCUCCUCCUAGAAAAAAAUAUUCAAGGGCAUUUCUAAUGGAUGCAGAAAAAACAAACAAACACAUCCCCAGGCUUUUAGGUAUUGCAUUGCUUCCUGUGACCCUCUCUCCUCCCAGCAAUGCCUAGAUUUCAAGUUGCAUAGGCUGGGUGGAAUAUAUUUUAGAACAAGACUCUAUUUAGCCGUGAUGUCAACUGCAGCCAACUAUAAAAAGCUCAGUAAUGCUCUUUGAAAGUGUAACAGCUGCUGCUCUACACAGUCCCUGGUGUAUUACAAGUCCGCCCUACUUCAUGUUCACACAACCAAAAUAAAAUACAAUAGCAAUCAUUUAAAUAGUUCAAGGAAUUUGGGACAUAAUCUCCCCAGAAACCAGGAGGAAUUCAAGGUUAGACAAACUGAGUAAUUUUGCAUGGUUUGUUAACAGAAAGGGAAUUUGCAAAAUUGACUUUUACCUCCCAUUGACUAUGUGCUAUCAAUGAUCCUUACACAGUGACAACAGAGCAGCAAACCUUCCUUUGGGCAGCUCUGCUGGGUGUUGUUCACACACACAAACUGAGCAUUUUCAUCCUUAACUGGAUUUGGUCAUGUAUAUUUAGAAAAACACUGAUCAGGCCAAAAUUUCCCAUAAAAGCAGGAAAGGAAACAGUUGAACAAAAUGUUUUUUAUUAAUCCAGAUGAAUAGACAGAAGUGAAUGACUGUGGAAUUAUGCUAGCACUGCACACCCUCACUGUACUGGAGAGGUGGUUUUGGCUGGGUCUCUGUUAAGGACAGUCUUGAAAUGCUGGAUGUUGUAGUAAAGUGUUUUGGUUUUUGGUUUUUAAAUCUGAGCAAUAAACAUUCAGGAGUGAUCCCCACA